GACGAACGCUGGCGGCGUGCUUAACACAUGCAAGUCGAACGGAAAGGCCCUGCUUUUGUGUGGUGCUCGAGUGGCGAACGGGUGAGUAACACGUGAGUAACCUGCCCUUGACUUUGGGAUAACUUCAGGAAACUGGGGCUAAUACCGGAUAUGAGCUCCUGCUGCAUGGUGUGGGUUGGAAAGUUUCGGCGGUUGGGGAUGGACUCGCGGCUUAUCAGCUUGUUGGUGUGGUAGUGGCUUACCAAGGCUUUGACGGGUAGCCGGCCUGAGAGGGUGAACGGCCACAUUGGGACUGAGAGACGGACCAGACGCCUACGGGAGGCAGCAGGGGGGAAUAUUGCACAAUGGGCGGAAGCCUGAUGCAGCAACGCCGCGUGCGGGAUGACGGCCUUCGGGUUGUAAACCGCUUUCGCCUGUGACGAAGCGUGAGUGACGGUAAUGGGUAAAGAAGCACCGGCUAACUACGUG
Molecule: ribosomal RNA, 468 nt
Filed under: uncultured bacterium
Lineage: Bacteria
Description: partial 16S ribosomal RNA
Rfam family: Bacterial small subunit ribosomal RNA
Source: RNAcentral